UCGGCUUAACCGGAGAAGUGCAUNGGAAACUGGAUAACUUGAGUGCAGAAGAGGGUAGUGGAACUCCAUGUGUAGCGGUGGAAUGCGUAGAUAUAUGGAAGAACACCAGUGGCGAAGGCGGCUACCUGGUCUGCAACUGACGCUGAGACUCGAAAGCAUGGGUAGCGAACAGGAUUAGAUACCCUGGUAGUCCAUGCCGUAAACGAUGAGUGCUAGGUGUUGGAGGGUUUCCGCCCUUCAGUGCCGGAGCUAACGCAUUAAGCACUCCGCCUGGGGAGUACGACCGCAGGGUUGAAACUCAAAGGAAUUGACGGGGGCCCGCACAAGCGGUGGAGCAUGUGGUUUAAUUCAAAGCUACGCGAAGAACCUUACCAGGUCUUGACAUCUUGUGCCAACCCUAGAGAUAGGGCGUUUCCUUCGGGAACGCAAUGACAGGUGGUGCAUGGUCGUCGUCAGCUCGUGUCGUGAGAUGUUGGNNNANNNNNCGCAACGAGCGCAACCCUUGUUACUAGUUGCCAGCAUUAAGUUGGGCACUCUAGUGAGACUGCCGGUGACAAACCGGAGGAGGGUGGGGACGACGUCAGAUCAUCAUGCCCCUUAUGACCUGGGCUACACACGUGCUACAAUGGACGGUACAACGAGUCGCGAACUCGCGAGGGCAAGCAAAUCUCUUAAAACCGUUCUCAGUUCGGACUGCAGGCUGCAACUCGCCUGCACGUAGUCGGAAUCGCUAGUAAUCGCGGAUCAGCAUGCCGCGGUGAAUACGUUCCCGGGCCU
Molecule: ribosomal RNA, 777 nt
Filed under: uncultured bacterium
Lineage: Bacteria
Description: bacterial SSU rRNA
Rfam family: Bacterial small subunit ribosomal RNA
Source: RNAcentral